UAGAAAGCUUUAGGGGAAGGGGAGUAUUGUGCUGCGAAUAUAUAUCCAGGUAAAGACAGUGCUCUGCUAAUGUAUCUCAAUCCUGACUGGCAGGGACCACCUCUAGGGAUGCGAUGAGAGCUCAUUUUCCAUGGCCCAUUCAAUUCUGGGCCUCU
Molecule: small RNA, 155 nt
Filed under: Chrysemys picta bellii (western painted turtle)
Lineage: Eukaryota; Metazoa; Chordata; Testudines; Emydidae
Description: TUC338 (ENSCPBG00000023896.1)
Source: RNAcentral